CCGAUAUCCUGUCGCUUAUAUACUAGUAAUAGCCUAUAUUUGAGUGAUUGCAUCCAUUAUAUUCAAGUAAACAGUAGUAUGAGGAAGAACGAUUGAAAUCGACACUAUACACUAGUUUUUACGGUCACCAUCAAAAUAAUAUUAAUUCUUUAUUGUCAUAUAAGUAAAACAUGAUACUUGUGACAUAAUAUAAAUAAUAACAAUAAAAAAAAAACUGAUUUAAAUACAAUAAAAAAUAACUAACAGACCCC
This 251-nucleotide long non-coding RNA is filed under the name Mytilus galloprovincialis (Mediterranean mussel). Lineage: Eukaryota; Metazoa; Mollusca; Bivalvia; Mytilida; Mytilidae. The record is from RNAcentral.